GGGUUAGUCCCGCAACGAGCGCAACCCUCGCCUUUAGUUGCCAGCAUUCAGUUGGGCACUCUAAAGGGACUGCCGGUGUCAAACCGGAGGAAGGUGGGGAUGACGUCAAGUCCUCAUGGCCUUUAUGUCCAGGGCUACACACGUACUACAAUGGCCGGUACAAAGGGCAGCGACACAGCGAUGUGGAGCGAAUCUCGAAAAACCGGUCUCAGUCCGGAUCGCAGUCUGCAACUCGACUGCGUGAAGUUGGAAUCGCUAGUAAUCGCGGAUCAGCAUGCCGCGGUGAAUACGUUCCCGGGCCUU
RNAcentral lists this ribosomal RNA (303 nucleotides) under uncultured Desulfovibrio sp. Its description in RNAcentral is "bacterial SSU rRNA". It matches the Rfam family "Bacterial small subunit ribosomal RNA", at positions 1078 to 1382 of the family's 1533-position model. Lineage: Bacteria; Pseudomonadati; Thermodesulfobacteriota; Desulfovibrionia; Desulfovibrionales; Desulfovibrionaceae. The record is from RNAcentral.